CCUGGAACUUGCUUUGUAGACCAGGCUGGCCUUGAACACACAGAGAUCUGCCUGCUUCUGCCUCCUGAGUGCUGGGAU
Molecule: microRNA precursor, 78 nt
Filed under: Cricetulus griseus (Chinese hamster)
Lineage: Eukaryota; Metazoa; Chordata; Mammalia; Rodentia; Cricetidae
Description: miRNA (ENSCGRG00001004691.1)
Source: RNAcentral